GACAGAGGGUGCAAACGUUGUUCGGAAUUACUGGGCGUAAAGCGCGUGUAGGCGGCUACGCAAGUCGGGUGUGAAAGCCCUCGGCUCAACUGAGGAAGUGCAUUCGAAACUGCGUAGCUUGAGUCUCGGAGAGGAUGGUGGAAUUCUCGGUGUAGAGGUGAAAUUCGUAGAUAUCGAGAGGAACACCGGUGGCGAAGGCGGCCAUCUGGACGAUGACUGACGCUGAGACGCGAAAGCAUGGGGAG
Molecule: ribosomal RNA, 245 nt
Filed under: uncultured bacterium
Lineage: Bacteria
Description: partial 16S ribosomal RNA
Rfam family: Bacterial small subunit ribosomal RNA
Source: RNAcentral